GUGGCUGUGGCUCAGUUGGUAGAGUGCUGGCCUAGCAUAUACAGAGCCCUGGGUUCAAUCCCCAGCACCGCA
RNAcentral lists this transfer RNA (72 nucleotides) under Mesocricetus auratus (golden hamster). It matches the Rfam family "tRNA". From Rfam's summary of the family: Transfer RNA (tRNA) molecules are approximately 80 nucleotides in length. Their secondary structure includes four short double-helical elements and three loops (D, anti-codon, and T loops). The record is from Rfam by way of RNAcentral. Lineage: Eukaryota; Metazoa; Chordata; Mammalia; Rodentia; Cricetidae.